GUGUCAGCCGCCGCGGUAAUACGAAGGGGGCUAGCGUUGCUCGGAAUCACUGGGCGUAAAGGGUGCGUAGGCGGGUUUUUAAGUCAGGGGUGAAAUCCUGGAGCUCAACCCCAGAACUGCCUUUGAUACUGUGGAUCUUGAGUUCGGGAGAGGUGAGUGGAACUGCGAGUGUAGAGGUGAAAUUCGUAGAUAUUCGCAAGAACGCCAGUGGCGAAGGCGGCUCACUGGCCCGAUACUGACGCUGAGGCACGAAAGCGUGGGGAGCAAACAGGAUUAGAAACCCGAGUAGUCC
RNAcentral lists this ribosomal RNA (292 nucleotides) under uncultured Bradyrhizobium sp. RNAcentral describes it as "partial 16S ribosomal RNA". It matches the Rfam family "Bacterial small subunit ribosomal RNA", at positions 505 to 796 of the family's 1533-position model. Lineage: Bacteria; Pseudomonadati; Pseudomonadota; Alphaproteobacteria; Hyphomicrobiales; Nitrobacteraceae. The record is from RNAcentral.